Molecule: long non-coding RNA, 227 nt
Filed under: Lathyrus oleraceus (garden pea)
Lineage: Eukaryota; Viridiplantae; Streptophyta; Magnoliopsida; Fabales; Fabaceae
Description: Pisum sativum (pea) long non-coding RNA (PSAT_LNC005352)
Source: RNAcentral
UUUAAUUGUUUAUUAAUUGAGUAAAUGCCAAAUAAAUUGUUUUGAGCUUCUAAUAUUGACUUGUUGAGUUUGACUUGUGUUGUUGGGCCUUGGUCAAGGUUGAUUUGACUUUGUUAAGUUAAGAUCAUUGGAUUUAGGGGAUUGAUGAAAUGUACAUUUCAUCUCCCAAAAAUGAAUGAAUGAUCUUAAUUUGGUAAAACUCCUCCUUUGACCAAUUUGUGUUGAUU